RNAcentral lists this long non-coding RNA (39132 nucleotides) under Eucalyptus grandis. Its description in RNAcentral is "long non-coding RNA (EGRA_LNC000377)". Lineage: Eukaryota; Viridiplantae; Streptophyta; Magnoliopsida; Myrtales; Myrtaceae. The record is from RNAcentral.
GCCGAAAGACCUUUAUGUGUAACUUGUAAAAAGUUCUGCAUGAUUAACUUGUUCACAGUUGUGCGUAUAAUGGUGGUUGAAAAACCCAUAUAACCUUCCACCAAAAUGUUCCUACUUUGAUCACUAAAGCACCCUCUUAUGGUCGGAGCACAAACAAAGCAAUGUUCAAGCCUGUUUUUAAACAUAAAGGCUUCACCAUCAUUCUUGCUUCCACCAUGCCCGAAUCGACAAAUCAAACUAGUGGACUUUGUUAAAUUUCUGUCGACCUGGGUUAGAAAAAUGCCCUAGUUCUUCUGCAUGAAUCUCCCAUCUUGGAGGCUAGGCACUGCUGUGCCGUGGGAUACUCGUUAAUACAACCAUUUCACCCUGUUAAUAUUACUUUUGCAGGAACCUCAAUUAACUGCGAACGAGCCAUUUGAUGUGUACGCGAAGCCCUUCUCCUUGUAGCACGGUAGACAGAAGCUUCAUCAAGUUGCGUCGGUUCCUAUUCAUCGUCGGUUUGAUGGCAUUACGGCUAACUUGGUUCCACGUAGACUGAAGUUUGUCUUGCAGUGUUCUGGAUGGACGAGCAAGAGUAUUAUAGCUCGUACUUCGGGUCUGAAUCUCAAUGUCUUUUUCGUGUGUAGCGGGGUGGUUGUUGUGGGAUUGGAGUGAUGGGAAACUGGAGAUACUCUGGGAGCGGGAGGAUCUAAUACCGUCUCCUAAAAGUAUCAAUUGAGGUGAAAUUUUGGAAGUGCCAACCGUGCAUAUCAAUUAGCAUUCCAGCUAUUUUCGCUAAAUUCUACCUCCAGCACCAGCUCCCGGAAUGUUUACAAUGCUCGAAAGGCAAAGAAAUAGAAGAAAUUAAGGGAGGGCAGAAAAAUUUGAAACUUGAGAUGAAGAUGUUCUCUUCAACCAUAUAAAUGUUUGUGGCAGCUCACCUCAUAUUCACUUGCUUAUUCAUUAACACAGUACUUUGAAUACAGGGGAUGUCGGUUACCAUGUUGCAUUUGCUUUCCCCUCUAAUAUAUUAAGAAACCUUAUAAAGUAUUGGAAAAUUCUUUAAAAAAAGUCAGACUUACUUUCGUAUUCAUAUUAGCAUUUCCUAUAUUUUUGAAAACUUUGACUUGCGAAUAUGGACAUAAAAUUGAAGAGACUUAUCAAAAGUUGCAAGAAAAACGAUCUUUCCAAGUAAAUCUUUUAUCAAAGUAUCAAUGAGCUAAAGUAGCGAUAGCCAUCGACAAAGGUCUCGGUAAGAAGGGACCGUUCCCUUUUUUCAAAUGUCUCGACUCGUUAGAUUAAAGUGACCGUCGGAUGAUUUUAUCUAUAACAAUUUUUUAGGUUUUAGGAUUCACUAUUUUUUUAACAUGAAAUGUCCGAAACUUACCAAAAUUAUCGGCAUCCGAUUCUUCUAGUUCUAUUGUUUUCUAUAUUCAACAUGAUACUUUUUAAAAAAUUUAAAUUUUGAAGGGGAAGUCAUUGCAAGCAAUUUUGCGCAUGACAAAGUUUUUAGAAUAGAAAUUGGGAAGUUAAAAAUUUUAGCUUAUGGUUUAUUCUUCAAAUUAAUUUAUAGAAUAAAAAUUUAUUUCAAAAAUAAAAAAAUCAAAUGGCGUUAUCAAACGGAUUUCUAUUUCAAACUUAUUCAAAAAAAUAGAGAAAUAAAAAUUUUAUCAUGUACCGCAGCUUAGCUUAAGACCUAGAAAAAAUUGGAGAGAGAGAGAGAGAGAGGAAACAUUGGAGACGCGAGAUGUGAUGAACGAGAAACAGUCUUGUCGUGAUGAAGUGGCAGCUGCCCCAGCCAGUCAGCCAGGAGAAAAUAUUGGGUACCUAAUAGUGCCACGCAAUCCGUGCUCUGAAUCAUUCAUUGCGUGACACCUGUCCAUGUGUCAGUCCACGUCGGCUCCCUCUUCUCUCUCACGUCGUUCUAAUUUAAACCAACGCGCGGGCAUUUAAAAAAGUGGAAAGGGAAUUCUCUCUCCCGUCUUCUCUCUCCUCUUUACUCUCUCUUCCUCCUCCGACGCUCCUUCCGGUCUAGCGAUUCCUCCGACGACCGUCGCUCCCUCCGACGACGGCCUUUCUCUCUCCACUCGACGGCCUCAUCUCAGCAGGGCUCCAUUCUCUCGUCGCACUUCUUCCUAAAUCGCGCUCUCUCCCGAUGGCCGAUUUCGCUCGCCUCUCUCCGUCCCCCGACUCGCGACCGAGAAGCAAUCGCUCGGCUGGUGCCGUGGUUUCUCUGUCGUUUUCCGAGAAGCCUCACUUCAAUUCCUUGCUCUGUUCGUCCAGCGAGUGCCAUGUCCGAAGACCCUUUGGGCUUUUAGAAAGUGGGUGCGUGAAAAGGCGCGGCCUUAGGAGGAGCCUGAGCAGCUUCGUGACGUCUGCCAUCGCCACGCCGAACUCGGUGCUGAGCGAGGAAGCUUUCAAGAAGUUGGGGACCGGUGGGUUCUCGGAGAGCGAGGUUGACGCGAGUGAGGAUGAGGGCGGCUUCGUGUCUGAGGGCGGCGAGGCUGAGAGUGUGAGCGAGGACGAGCUAGCUCUCUCCAAGCUGGGUUUGCCUCAGAGGCUCGUGGAAUUUCUUGAGAAACGUGGCAUUACCCAUCUCUUUCCCAUUCAAGUAUGCUUUAUCCUUUGUUUCCUUCCCCUAUGUUAUCCAAUAUUUUCGCUUUGGUAUGAAUUGCUGUUGUUUAUUGCUGGCUGAGUUUUCCUUUGUUUGAGCAUACUUAGUUGGCUGGAAAAUUAAGUAGAAAACCUUGACCUUUGUUAAUGUGCUAGGCGAACCACGGAUGGAGUUAAGUGCAGGCAAUCAUAAUAGGUAUUCUGGGAUGUUCUGUCGUAGCUUACAUUAGAUGACUAUCCUAUGCUGAAAAUCGAGCUGUUCAACACUAAGAUGUUGUUGGGACUAAGGCUUUACACAGGCAGAAUUCGUUUUUUUAAUCGACUCGAUAUUUGGUUUCUUUACUUUUGCUAGCACUAGGAUAGUUCACUCAUCACUCAUUACUUUUCCCCCUUCAUUGUUCACUCUACUAAAGUUUCAUCAUGUUUUCAAUGGCAAACUCAUGUUCCUUGUACUAUUCUGUGAUUGUUAGAGAGCGGUGUUAACCCCUGUGCUUGAAGGGUGUGAUUUAAUUGCUCGUGCGAAGACUGGAACGGGGAAGACUUUAGCUUUCGGGAUUCCAUACUGAAGCGUCUUACUGAUGGUGAUGAACAUAGAAGUCCGAGGUAUUUGAGUAAUAAUUUUAAUUAUCUUGGUGACCUCCAAUGUUUGAGCAUUUUUCUAAUGACAGAUUAUACUGUAAAUGUCUCUUAGAUGUGGGCGACUUCCUAGAGUUUUGGCCUUAGCACCAACAAGAAAAUUAGCAAAACAAGUAGAGAAAGAAAUUAAGGAAUCUACACCUUACUUAAACACCGUGUGUGUUUAUGGUGGAGUUUCUUACAUUACCCAACAAAGUGUCCUUUCCCAGGGGUUCGAUGUAGUUGUCAGGACUCCUGGUCGAAUCAUUGAUUUGAUCAACGGUAACAGCCUUAAAUUGGGAGAAGUGGAAUUUUUGGUACUUGAUGAAGUUGAUCAGAUGCUUGCCGUUGGUUUUGAGGAAGAUGUGGAGGUGAUCUUGGAAAAGCUUCCCUCACAGCGACAGAGCCUGCUUUUCUCUGCCACAAUGCCUGGUUGGGUGAAGAAACUGGCGAGAAAGCACUUGACAAUAUUGCUUGCAGGCACUAGCAAGCACACUUGAUGAAGAGGAACUUGCUGACCUCAAGGAUCAAUUUGCUGCAAUUGAUGUAGAUAAAAAUGGUUCUAUUAGUCUUGAAGAAAUGAAAGAGGUAUCCAUUUCUUUCUCAUUCCACAUUCACUCUGAUGAAUAUUUUAAUUACAUCAUGAUCAUGAGCGUUGUAUGCAUGCAGGCCCUUGCUCAGGAUCUUCCCUGGAAGAUGAAGGAACCACGUGUCUUAGAGAUUCUUCAAGCGGUAACUUUUAUCUUUACCUUUGUUAUGGCCUUCUUUUCUCCUUGUGUAUUAGCAAUUGAGAUUUGUUUUUCUGGUGGGUUUUGUGGAAUACCAUUUCUGUCAGUUUCACGUUCUUCUUUUAUUGUUUUGGUGAUUCUCUUUUGUUCAUAUUCGAUGCUUGAAGCUUCCAUUUAGUUCUUGCUUCAUGUUUCAUCAUUUUGAAAACUUGCUUGUGUUGUUAGCCAAGAAAUGUUGGACUAAUUUUUUGUUCAUAAGAUGAGCUGCUGCCAAGCUUAUAGAUUUUGCACAAACAUGUGAGUCCUGAAUGGUGCAUAAGAAUCUCUUUUAUUUUUCCUUCAUGUAGAUCGAUAGCAACACGGAUGAGCUAAGUGGAUUUUACUGAGUUUGUUGCAGCUACUCUUCAUGUGCAUCGAAUGGAGGAACAUGACUCAGAGAAGUGGCAGCUGCGGUCACAGGCCACUUUUUGAAAAAUUUGACAUUGAUCGUGAUGGUUAUAUAACCCCAGAAGAACUUCGACUGGUAAUUUUGACUAUCUUCAUUUAUUCAUCCCUUCCACAUUCAUUUGCCCUCUAGUUCUCAUUUGUGUCACUAUGGGUAUGGGUAGAGUGAAAAUUAAAUUACGUAGACAGGGCUAAAUGUAUUUGUUUUAAUUUGUAACUGAAUUUUGACCCUGUCUCUUGGGAGCUUGAAGUUUGUUUCUUGCAAAAUUGCCCAAAAGUUGGGAUAAGUUCUGUCUUUUUGCAUAUUGGGCACAAAAUAGUAGCAUAGCUACUUUCUGUUGCAGCUUCACAUAAAGAAACUGUUCAGCUUGUGACCUUGAUAAUUUGGUUAUUGUCUCAUCUGAAAAUACUAGCCAAAUGUAUUGCCUCUUGUUGUAUAUUCUGCUCAAAGUAGUGGCGCAGGUUUUUUAUGUUGCUUGGUACAAAGAAAUGGUUAAGCAUGUUAACGUGUAACCUUGACAUGAUGCUCCCAUGCCCUUUUUAGCAGACAGGUUUGAAAGGCUCCCUUGGUCCUCUGCUAGAGGAAGCCAACGUCGACAAAGAUGGGAAAAUAAGUUUAUUGGAGUUCAGAAGGCUGUUAAGAACUGCAAGCAUGGGCUCUCAAAACUUGCCGAGCCCAUCUGGUUAUUGGAAUUUGAGGAAGAUAUAGAUCCAUUAUGGAGCUUUUGGGUGUUAAAAAGAGAGGAGGGAGCACGAGACAGGUUACGUAUUUUGGUUACUCAAGAUAUACCGAGCCAACCAUGAUGACCGCCUCUGUACUCCGCUCCAUUGCCAGUGGAAAUCCCUGUACAAAAGUUAGUAUCAAGGGAUUUUGCAUGGCACCCCAAGUUAGCCGAGAAGUGCUUGAGGAUGAAGGUUUGGAGAGAUUGCUGGCUGUGGUCGUUUACUUGGUGAGAGGGAAGGGCUAUACGGGCGUACGUCUUCUAAUGAGUGGGAUGUGUAGGCUGCGAGUGUAUAUUUAACGCCCUCGAAUUUGGGGGCCUGUUCUAUUAUAGAAUGGGCAAUGCUUUUUUACUUGUAAGGCCUUCUCUUUUCCCAAUUUUUUUGGCAUCGCAAAUGAAUUAAGUGUAAACAUUUUUCAGUCUCUCUCAGAGAUGGGCAAUGCACCUGCUUUUCCUGUGAAUUAUUUAGAGAUGUAUGCUGAGCAGCCAUUAACGAAAAUAAAUUGAUCAUAUUAUUUAGGGUGAUGCUUCUUGGUUUCAAGAGCCAUUCAUCAUCGCGUUGAAUCAUGGCCAAUAGAAUAGCGAAUGUAGGAGGUGAUGCGCAGAACAUAAAGAAUUCGCCUUUUUCUGCUCCGGUCAAUGAUGUUGGGAAUACCCAAAAGCAUAUGCUAGCUCACAUCUCCAUCGGUACACUGAUUCGUUACCUCUUGACGACAGCAUCUCUAGAGACUUUUUUAUCUAAUAACCACCAGGGCAUCACAAAUACACGAUGCGAAUGACUCAUGUAGGAUUACAACCUGGCUUAUGCCUCAUGGCAGGUCAAAAGUCGCAAGAUAGUUUGGAUGCAAAACAGAAGCUCCAAUCAAUUAUGUCAUGGUUGCUGGAGCUAAACCCUUAAAAAAGUAAUGAAUGUGCCCUUCAUUGUAGGGGUGAGCAUGGUCCGGGUUGGUCCGGGCCACCCCCUAACCCUAGGACCAACCCAUACAGUGUCGGUCCUCAAUUUUUAGGACCGAGGACCGACCCUAUUAAGUCUAGGACCAAGGACCGGACCGACCCAAUGGGUUCGGUCCGAUUCCAGGGUUAACCCGGGACCGAUCAAUAAUUUUUUUCGUCUUAUUUUUUAUACUCCCUAAAAAAACAAACCUACAAAUUUAAAUUACACAUCCAUCGAUAAUGCGGCAUUGUGCAACUAAACUAUAAAUACCAAUACAUAUUUAGUAAAUUUAAGAUGACAUAAUAACUUACCUGUUAACCGCUCAUCGAGAUAUGGGACAAGAUGGAAAGUUCUUGUAAUCAUCUAUCUUUAAUAUUCAUAACACCAUAUGCAAAAGCGUUUUCCUGCAUUUGAUUGUAGAGUCCACUCAACCAAAAAAUAAGCUUCACACCACUUGACUAGCAAAUCACCGUAACAACUGCAGUACUACUCUACUCUUCAAAAAUUUCUACCAUUUGACACAAAUUAAAAAGUAAAGUGCAACUGAAAUUCAUUAAUAAAAUACAAUUAAACCAUAAAAAGUUCAAAAUACUUAAUAUAAACCAUGAAUAUAUAACUUCACAUCUUGUUAAUUCACUUGAACUUCUAAAUACCUGAAAACAAAACAAACAACACAUAAUUAAUACUCAACAAAAGUUUUAAAUUGAAAUUACUAUUAGUGCUAUUGAUAGAACAUCUCAAUAUAAUAUAAUAUAACAGACAUUUUAUUUAGGUUUGAAUAUAUAAAAGAAUUAUAAGUAAUAUAAUAAAAUAUACACGGUUGGUCCAGGAUUGGACCGACCCAAAACUUUUAGGACCGAGGACCAACCCGCACAGUAUUGGUCCUGGAGUUUCAGGACCAAGGACCGACCCGGUCCCCUUGGGAACCGGACCAGGACCGGCAGGGUUGGGCCGGUCCAGGGUCGGUCCAGGGUCGACCCUAGACCGCUGCUCACCCCUACUUCAUUGUUCAAGUUUCAGGCAUAUGCUCUGAAAUCUGUAUAAACUAAAAAAAUUCCCUGUAAGUUAAGCAAACGCAACAUAAUAUACAACUGACCAGCCUCGGGGUACAAACUACGAAAGGACUAGAAAAUGAGUUAGGCCUGUAACAGGAAAAGAAAAUUGUGGCAUUAAGAUUUUCUGGACUCAACUCUUCAUCUACUGGACUUUGGGUUGUCACUAACACUAUUGGAGGAACUAUCUGGAAAAGCCUGAGAUGAGGAAAGCUUGCUUGAGGAGCUCCCAUCAGUAAAAUACUUAUCUCCUUCCUCUGGGUCUGCUUGCCCUUCUUUUCUCCGGACGUCAAGUCCUGCAUAAUAUAUACUGUUAUGCAUAUUGUGCCAAUUUACAGAGUAGAUCUAGCUCUGGUUCAGAAUAUAAAAAAAAAACCUGAUGUGAUGAUGUUCCAGGCAUCUUAAGUUCAAGGUCUGUUGCCACGUCAUUUGAAUCUUCGUCUUGCUCUGCAAUGCUGCCCCUUUGAUGAUCUGAAGACCUGCUUUUGGAGUCUUUUUUAUUUGACACGUGAGAAGUGGAAGCAUAUUGGGUUGACUGCUGUUCAAAUGUGGGAUUGGCAGGCAUUGAAUUUGGGAUAAAGGUAGAACACGGAGCAGGAAUAGCACUUGCAUUCUGAUUUCCAAAGAAAGGGAAAGGCUGAAGUUGUGAGAGCAUGGGUAUUGGACCUGGAGUGACGGGUAUUGGAACUGGAUAUGAGUAGGCUGGACCCAUGACGACGGAUGGAUCCAUGGCAGCCCAAGGGUACAUAACCCUCGUCCUUUGCUGGUACUGGACAUUAAGAUUUUCAACUUCAGAUUUUAAAGAUGAUUUCUCUUCUCUGAGCUCAUUCUUCUCCUGCAUCAGCUGGUUGUAAUGCAAAGUUACUAUUAGCAUCAAGGCAAACAAUGGACAUUAGAACCUCAGGAUACUGGAUGAAGAUCAAAUCACCUCACGAGAUUCUUCAAUAAGAGCUGCACAUUCAGCUUUCAAUUUGUUAACUUCCAUGGUUAAAUCCUUCAGCACCUGGAUUGUGUCCGUAAGAAUGGUUGCCUUGUCAUUCUUAGGUCAAUCAGGAUCUGUAGUUCAUAUAGGAAAGGCAAAAGCAGUUGUUCAAAAGUCUAGCAUGAACAAAAGGCAGCUCUAAUUACAGAGAAACAGCACAUGCUAAAUAAUAUAACCACAGCAUUUAUGUCCCUGUAGUAGCAAACCAAUGCAAUGAUUUUGUAUAAUGCCUCCUUCCCAAAUACCCUUUUGAUGAGACUUCGAUUUUGUUUCUCCACGGUUCAUCUGGAUCAGAUUAAGAAGCCAUGGGUGGAACAUCUUUUAGCCUCUGAGAGAAGAAAGUUUGUCUUUGAACAUCUUCUGGCUAAGCGCGUUCAGCAUCGCUCUCAACUACUGGCGUGAAGCCAUUUUCUAGUCCAUGGCCGUUUUCAUCAUGGCCUUGAAUUCAUCAUAACUGAUUCGACCGUCCUGGAAUACAUCCAUCACAGAAUGAGCACUCUAUUUCGUAUAUGAACAAGAUAUACACAGAUUCCAAAUUGCAGGUUGUUCUGGUUAUGUAUUACCUUAUCUAGAUCAGCAUUGAAAAUGAUGUCUUCAAUAAAUUUUUCGUUGUUCGGACCAAGAUUGUCAUCUAUCAAAGCUUCUUUCAACUCAUCGAAUUCAAUAUAUCCGCUUCAAUUCUUGUCAAAGAAUUCAAAAGCUCGAAUAAGGUGGUCAUUGUUGCCAAUCCUUCUCGAGUGGACUGACAUAGUCACAAACUCCUUUAAGUUCAGUGUUCCGCUUCCAUCUUCAUCAGCCUGUUCUCAUAUAAGAUGGAGUUCUAUUUUUAGAUGCUAAUACAAGAAAUCGUGACUCAUCAGCAUCUGCACAUCAGGAUCAGCAACUUGCUGUCCAUAUUUGUGCAGGCCAUGUUUCAACUCUUCAAAUGUCAGAUCUCCAUUUUUAUUGGUGUCCAUCAUGUCGAACAGCUCUUUCAUAUGAUCCACUUGCUCAUCAGGCAAAUUGUCUACUACUACCUACAUUAACAAUGUGGGAAACACAAUUCGAGUUUAACUUUGCACUAAGAACAGCAAUGAAAUUCGUGUUGCUAUCGAUCUACAUGAAGGAAAAAUAAAAGAGAUUCUUAUGCACCAUUCAGGACUCACAUGUUUGUGCAAAAUCUAUAAGCUUGGCAGCAGCUCAUCUUAUGAACAAAAAAUUAGUCCAACAUUUCUUGGCUAACAACACAAGCAAGUUUUCAAAAUGAUGAAACAUGAAGCAAGAACUAAAUGGAAGCUUCAAGCAUCGAAUAUGAACAAAAGAGAAUCACCAAAACAAUAAAAGAAGAACGUGAAACUGACAGAAAUGGUAUUCCACAAAACCCACCAGAAAAACAAAUCUCAAUUGCUAAUACACAAGGAGAAAAGAAGGCCAUAACAAAGGUAAAGAUAAAAGUUACCGCUUGAAGAAUCUCUAAGACACGUGGUUCCUUCAUCUUCCAGGGAAGAUCCUGAGCAAGGGCCUGCAUGCAUACAACGCUCAUGAUCAUGAUGUAAUUAAAAUAUUCAUCAGAGUGAAUGUGGAAUGAGAAAGAAAUGGAUACCUCUUUCAUUUCUUCAAGACUAAUAGAACCAUUUUUAUCUACAUCAAUUGCAGCAAAUUGAUCCUUGAGGUCAGCAAGUUCCUCUUCAUCAAGUGUGCUUGCUAGUGCCUGCAAGCAAUAUUGUCAAGUGCUUUCUCGCCAGUUUCUUCACCCAACCAGGCAUUGUGGCAGAGAAAAGCAGGCUCUGUCGCUGUGAGGGAAGCUUUUCCAAGAUCACCUCCACAUCUUCCUCAAAACCAACGGCAAGCAUCUGAUCAACUUCAUCAAGUACCAAAAAUUCCACUUCUCCCAAUUUAAGGCUGUUACCGUUGAUCAAAUCAAUGAUUCGACCAGGAGUCCUGACAACUACAUCGAACCCCUGGGAAAGGACACUUUGUUGGGUAAUGUAAGAAACUCCACCAUAAACACACACGGUGUUUAAGUAAGGUGUAGAUUCCUUAAUUUCUUUCUCUACUUGUUUUGCUAAUUUUCUUGUUGGUGCUAAGGCCAAAACUCUAGGAAGUCGCCCACAUCUAAGAGACAUUUACAGUAUAAUCUGUCAUUAGAAAAAUGCUCAAACAUUGGAGGUCACCAAGAUAAUUAAAAUUAUUACUCAAAUACCUCGGACUUCUAUGUUCAUCACCAUCAGUAAGACGCUUCAGUAUGGAAUCCCGAAAGCUAAAGUCUUCCCCGUUCCAGUCUUCGCACGAGCAAUUAAAUCACACCCUUCAAGCACAGGGGUUAACACCGCUCUCUAACAAUCACAGAAUAGUACAAGGAACAUGAGUUUGCCAUUGAAAACAUGAUGAAACUUUAGUAGAGUGAACAAUGAAGGGGGAAAAGUAAUGAGUGAUGAGUGAACUAUCCUAGUGCUAGCAAAAGUAAAGAAACCAAAUAUCGAGUCGAUUAAAAAAACGAAUUCUGCCUGUGUAAAGCCUUAGUCCCAACAACAUCUUAGUGUUGAACAGCUCGAUUUUCAGCAUAGGAUAGUCAUCUAAUGUAAGCUACGACAGAACAUCCCAGAAUACCUAUUAUGAUUGCCUGCACUUAACUCCAUCCGUGGUUCGCCUAGCACAUUAACAAAGGUCAAGGUUUUCUACUUAAUUUUCCAGCCAACUAAGUAUGCUCAAACAAAGGAAAACUCAGCCAGCAAUAAACAACAGCAAUUCAUACCAAAGCGAAAAUAUUGGAUAACAUAGGGGAAGGAAACAAAGGAUAAAGCAUACUUGAAUGGGAAAGAGAUGGGUAAUGCCACGUUUCUCAAGAAAUUCCACGAGCCUCUGAGGCAAACCCAGCUUGGAGAGAGCUAGCUCGUCCUCGCUCACACUCUCAGCCUCGCCGCCCUCAGACACGAAGCCGCCCUCAUCCUCACUCGCGUCAACCUCGCUCUCCGAGAACCCACCGGUCCCCAACUUCUUGAAAGCUUCCUCGCUCAGCACCGAGUUCGGCGUGGCGAUGGCAGACGUCACGAAGCUGCUCAGGCUCCUCCUAAGGCCGCGCCUUUUCACGCACCCACUUUCUAAAAGCCCAAAGGGUCUUCGGACAUGGCACUCGCUGGACGAACAGAGCAAGGAAUUGAAGUGAGGCUUCUCGGAAAACGACAGAGAAACCACGGCACCAGCCGAGCGAUUGCUUCUCGGUCGCGAGUCGGGGGACGGAGAGAGGCGAGCGAAAUCGGCCAUCGGGAGAGAGCGCGAUUUAGGAAGAAGUGCGACGAGAGAAUGGAGCCCUGCUGAGAUGAGGCCGUCGAGUGGAGAGAGAAAGGCCGUCGUCGGAGGGAGCGACGGUCGUCGGAGGAAUCGCUAGACCGGAAGGAGCGUCGGAGGAAGAAGAGAGAGUAAAGAGAGAGAGAGAAGACAGGGGAGAGAGAAUUCCCUUUCCACUUUUUUAAUGCCCGCGCGUUGGUUUAAAUUAGAACGACGUGAGAGAGAAGAGGGAGCCGACGUGGACUGACACAUGGACAGGUGUCACGCAAUGAAUGGUUCAGAGCAUGGAUUGCGUGGCACUAUUAGGGUACCCAAUAUUUUCUCCUAUAACAGAGUAUACUCACAAUGAUCACAUUUUCUUAUAUACUCACAAUGAUCACAUUUUCUUAUCUAAAGAUAAUAGAAACAAGAACAGUCAUACCAACGAGAAAAUAUUCAGUGGUUCGUGCGCGCCACGUCAUCUGCGGACGUGGCGCGCAUGAACCACUCAGAUAUCAACACCUGUCCCGAGCGGGACCCUCUCGAAAAUGAGAAAAGGGCUGGUUUUUGAUCGGCUCGGCUCGGCUCGAAAGGACGGUCGGCGUAUUCCUCCCGCUCAAAAUUUUGUCUCUCCUCUCCCCUCGUAAAAGAACCAAGAACGUUCAGAGGCUCUAUUUCCUUCUCCACACAUCCCACCUCCUCCGCCUCCGCCUCCGCCUCGGCCUACCCAAAAGCGUCGCUGGUCAUCUGCCUCUGGCAUCUCGGUCUCGUUCUCGAGCGGCACCAGGCUCCCCGCCGCUGACCGGGCGCUGUCCCCGACGCUGGCCCGCUCGGUCGCGAGGGAGAUCUGGGCGGACUUGGGCGGGGUCGACGGCGCGGCGAAGAAGGAGAGACCUGCUGCAUUUUCUCUCUCUAUUUUUCAACGGAGCGCGCGCUUUUCUUUCCGCUUCUGCCUCUCUCUUCCUCAAGCACUCCUCUCCUCUCUGUCCCAAGCCCUCUCACUCACCCCAAGCGCCCCCCUCCUCGCCUCUCUCGAGCCCUCUCACUCACCCUAAGCACUUCCCUCCUCGCCUCUGUCCUCGUCGCCGUCAUCGACUUUCCAGCCGCGGCUCCAGAAAUCGCCGGCUGCCGACUGGCCUCUCGAGCUUCUUUGUCUUCUACUCCUUAUUCGGUCCCGAUUUCGGGCUCGAGUACGUAGCCAAGGAUUUUGAAGCAAAAGAGGUUUGCGAGGCUAGAUAUACUGGUGGCGGUGCUAAGUUUUGGGGUUUCGGCAACGCCGUGAUGGCUGCGAGGGAUAUUGUGGUGGAGGAGAGAGGCGUAUGGGUACCGUGAGACCUCUCUUUCUCCUUUGCCUUUUUUUUCUUUUCUAUCGCCUCUGUUUCAGGAGGCAUGGAGGCCUAGUGAUAGUGGCUGUUUUGGCUUCUAGGUUGAGCCAGAGUCGGAUAGCUUAUCAGGAGGCUGAGGGGAGAGUUCUUCAUCGGUCCUUUUGAAUCCUGAAGCAAGUCGCAUCCUGCCGUUCCCACCGGAGUAUUUGUCAUCGCGAUCUUUGGUAUGAAAGUUUUAACCUUAUUAUUGUUGCUGUGAGGAAGAGCGCAUGAUAGAUAAUUGUCCAUGGUCUGCACUUGUUACAAUUGGUUAUAAAGUAAUCAUUCUUUAGUGCCAGGAUCGUUGUUGAUGUGAAAACUAUAAUGCUCUUGUGACCUUUUGCACUUUGAAUACUUUUCACAUAUGUCCUGCACUCACAUCAUGUAUUCUAAUGUAUUCAAUUUAAAUAAAUCCCUACUAGUAGGAGAAUGAAGGGAAAAGGGUUGCCAUUUCCGUACUGCAGGAAGUAAACAUAUCUUCCUAGAAAAUCAGCUUAAUAGGAUUUAAGUAUCAUUAGUAAGUGUCAAAGCUGGAUGAUGAAAAAACCAUCGCUCUAAGACCCAAAGCUUUUGAAGUACAAUGGCAAGGUUUGCUUACCUUGGCAUGAGUAACAGCGACAUUGAUCCUAUGCCAAUCACCAAGUAGUGAGGAAUUGCAAUGAUUCCCCUCUUUGUUAGACCUCACAAAGGAAACCACUAUGCAAUCUUUAUGUCGUCCCUGGACAACAGUAACGGAAUGCUCAGUGUGAAAAUUAUACACUUCCCAAGAAAAAUACAAAAAAAGAAAGAGCAAGAAAAGAAAAAAAGAUAAGCAUUGAGGUGAGAAGAACACACAUUUCACAUGCUAGACUUGCUUAACAAAAUGAAUAUUGUUAACGAAUGCCAUUGCAGCAGUGGUCAAGGUUCAAGAACAUAUAUAAAAUCGUUAUCCUAUUUGAUGUAGGAAGUUUUCUCGUUAUCAUAUUUUGUAAAGUCGAACGUGUUACUUGCCAAACAUUCAUAAUUUGUUGGACAUUAAGAAAUUGAAAGCAUGCUGGUAACUUCGUCAAAUAUUUACUGCUGUUUAAAUUGGUAAGGUUUUAUAUCUGUUAAGAUACAAAUUUACUUUGUGCCACACUCUAACUAUUGAAGUAAACGAUUGUGCAUUUAGCUUCAAGUUGAUGGCAGAGUUAGAGUUCUUGAGUUUGAUUGCUAACUGUCGUCUGCAACCCGUUAUGGGUCUGCCUAUUCUUAUGCCUGCAAGCAUAGGGUUUGCAUGCCUAACGCCUUUGUCAUCAAAUCACCUUUGCAUGAGCAAAAAUAACCACCGCACUCUAACGGCUUAAGCUUUUGUAGUCGGUUGUGCAUGUAACCUCAAGUUUAUCAAUUGAUAAAUUCAAGUACCCUCUGGUACAUAACUUCAUGUUAUUGAAUUCUAAUGUAAAUGACUAGUUUACUUGGUAAAACAGACAGCUCCCAGUAGAACAUCUGAAAUGUCUGCAGUUGGUCGACUUCCUGCAGCCCUUCAAGUUCGUAAGCUUAACUUCUAAUCUCAUUGUGGUUAUAUUCUGACUUGACUCGAAGAGCAUAUUCAUUAGCGACUCCAACUUCAGGGGAUCGAUAUCAGAGAAAUGCUUGCUGGCGCAUCCUUCAUGGAUGGGACAACUAGGACGAAAGUGGUAAGAUUGCUGUCGACUGAUGUUAUUUGGUGUUUCGUCAGAAUGUUUUAUUGGUACCCAGUGGGGCAACUUAUGGUGUAAAAUCUUGCUUAGUGUGUAGUGCUUAGGAUUCUGCAUGUGCACUUUUAUGAUGUAAGAAGCUGGGUCGCCCGAAUUAACUAAGUAUGGUCGAGAUAUCAGUCUUGAUUAUAGAUAGCUAAUCAGGCAUUCAAGGAUGUCAGCUAACAAGUUGAACGGUUGUCUUUGAUAGUAUGCACUGUGAUGUAUGCAAGAGUAACUUGUGAACUUAUUAAGCAGGAGAAUUGUCACUUGUUUCCCAUCAUUAUGCACUGAGAAGAUUUUGUAGUAUAUGUGCUAGAGGAUGUCAUACAGUAUAAUUCACUGUAAAAUAGAGUGCAGAGUAUCCAUUAGAUCCAUUUAAGCUCACGACUGGCAAUUGCUAUUGUUGUCGCUUAGUUGCUUCAAGGCAUAUUCAUUUCUAGUUGCUGAUGCACUCUACAGUGAAUCAAAGUAUAGCCUUUUAGUUUCAUGCAUUUUGAUUUGUGCCUUCUCUUGUUGCCUGCUUGUAGUAUCAAUUUCGCAAGCAAUUCAAAUCCUUGUUCAAGAUGCAGAGUAAAUCUGCAAUGCAAGUCAGGGAGAUGAUCAUGUUUCCUUGUCCAGGAUAUCCAUUACUGUAGGUUGUCUGAAAAAGAACCACAGAUAUGUUCAUUUAGGGACUGAUAGCAUAUCCACAUUGUUUGCAUUCCUAGUUGUAAUUCCUUUCUCUGCUUGCAGUAUUAAAUUUGGCAGCAAAUAAAAUUCUCUUUAAGGAUACAGUCCCAUGUAAGUCUGGGAAUUAAUUAUGUUUUCUUGUCCAAGAUAUUGCUAACUUGUAUGUUGUGUCAGAAGAUCCACAGAAACAUUGAUGUAGGGACUGUAGAUUAACUUAGCAUGUCCACACUGUAUGUGCUUCCUAGAUUGUAAAUCCUUUGGCAAGAAACUUAUCAUUGUACUACUUUUGUCAAAUAAUCACAAACAUAAAUGUCAAGGCCUGUUUGGGGUAGCUGUGAGUUUCAGCUUGCCUUUCUGGUUUUAGCUGUGGGUUUUGAGUUUUUGGCUUUAACUUUGACUUUAAAGAAAUGAAGUUGAUAGAAGACAUAACUUCUAACUUGAAAGUGACUGGCUCAUUUUGAGAAUUUAAUAGUAUUGAACGCUGAACCUUAAAUCAUAGAUGUUUGGAUUCUUGGAUAAUUUUACUUCUAAAAUGAAGCAUAUAAUAACUUUUAGUGACCAAAAGCCAUAAUACCUGAUGUGCAGUCCCUAUCAUCCCCCCCUCGGUGCAAAAAACAAAAACGAAAAAAAAAAAAAAAACGAAAACACACACACAAAAGAAGAAGUUACAACAUAAGAACUAUCGGUAGUUUUCCUUAGCUGUCUGAGUGGCUUCUCUACUGGCACUGAUCAAAGGAUGGUUCUUGCCUUUUGUAGUCCUGUGUCAGCGGAAAUAACUUUUUUCUUUUCCAGGUGAAGAACAACCCUGCUGCAUUGCUUGCUUUAUGUUGGUAUUGGGCUUCUGAUGGUGUAGGAUCUAAGGUAUUAUAUUUGAAUGAGAGUGUCUUCCGAUUGUUGUUUUUUUCCCUUUUAGUUUGCAGUCAUUGACAAUUGUUUCACUUUUUAAAUUGCUGCUGUCAGGACAUGGUAAUUCUUCCUUAGAAAGACAGCCUUCUGUUAUUCAGUUGGUAUCUGCAACAAUUUGAUUUGGAUGGCAAUUGGGUAUGUAUUUGAUUUUUUGGUGAAAAUUGGGAGUUUUGUCUCCAUCUCUAGUUUCCAAAAUGUUAAAUCUCAAAUUGUUCAUUUCACAAGUCAAUCAAGGGCUUACUGUUUAUGGGAAUACAGGAAGCACAGAUCAGCAUGCGUAAGUUAUUUUUUGAUAAAGUAAUGCCACUAUUACUUUUACAUGCUGGUGACGUGAUUAUUCCCGAUGCAUGUUAUUGUCUAAUUUCCAUAUAGCUACAAACAACAGCUGAGAGAGGGUGUGCACAACUUCUUCAUAACAUUCAUUGAAGUGCUUUGUGAGAGACCACCUGGUCAUGAUUGGGAGCUUGAACCUAGUGUUUCCUGUGGUGACUAUCUGUUUGGAAUGCUUCAAGUUAGUUUACAAUAAGAGCUACUAAUAUUUACCUUUAAGAAGAUUCUAGCAAUAGUCGAAGUUCUUAUGUCUAUUGUUUCUGAAGUUUAAGAUCCCAGACUUCUCUUGGAAAGGAGACAUGAGUUCAGUGGAUGAUUUACUUAUAGUCACCGAGGCCAGGUAUCUUACUAGAACAAGCUUGUCUAAGAUGGAAACUAUCAGCUCUUAAGGAACGGGGAACACUUAAGAGAAACUGUUGAGUGGGGUGGUAGAAACAUGGAUAAGAAGAAAAGCAAGCUCGUAGGCAUUGCAGAUGAUGGACAGAAAGAGAUCCACAUUGAAAGGACAGAUGAAUUUGGCCAAAUAGUAAGUUUUCAACAAAAAAAAGAUAUUAAUCAUAAAGCCUUGUAAUACUAAAUUGUCCUUUAUAAUUUCUUUUGCGUCUGACAAAGAAACACCAAUUCAUUACUUUGAUGUUUUUAUGCCAAUCUUCUUGUUUUGAAUGUUUUGCAACAGUUAACCCCAAAGGAAGCUUUCCGAUUGCUUUCCCAUAAAUUUCAUGGAAAAUGGCCUGGCAAAAUGAAGCAAGAGAAGAGCAUGAAGCAAUACCAGGAAGAAUUGAAGUUGAAGCAGAUGAAGAAUUCAGACACGCCUUCUUUGUCUGCAGAGAGGAUGAGGGAAGCUCAAGCUCAAAUGAAGACACCUUAUCUUGUGCUUGGUGGUCAUGUUAAGCUUGGGUAUGUUUUCCUCUGUUAAAAAAUCAAGUUACUAGUUCUUUAUUCAUUGGCAUUUAAGUACAUAGCAUUUUAGAUUAAUCUGACUUUAUAAGAUGUCAAUGUGAAGUGUCUUGUUCCAUGACCAAAGUGCUUGACUGUCUUUUCGCUUUGCUGCUUCAAAUUUUCUAUUUAUCCCAAAUCCCUCAGAGCCUGGACUCUGCUGAGGUGAUGUUUCUGUUUGCUAAUAUACAGCUCCAUGGAUCACUGCAUGGAUGACUCUUUCCAGACUAUAUUUCCCCAGAUGUUUGGGGGGAAUCUCCAAUUUCAAGACUCGUGAAUUUGUUAACUUAAAAAUCAUAGCCUAUGACCAUGCAUUAUAGAUCAUCCUAUAGAUGUCUCCAUCUUUAUGCUUAAAAAGGCGGCACCUUAAUAGAAAUUUGAGUGGUCUGACUUGAUUGAUGAUAAACAAUCUAUAUCUGAGAAGACAAUCAGACACCAUCUAAUAAGUGUAAGCUGGACUUCAUGCAAUGUCUAUUUACCAUGGUAAUUGAAUGAUAAAAUAAUGAUUAGAUUUUUGUUACUUUGUGCCUGUUUAUUUAAUUGUUUUUUUUUUCUUUUUUCUUCAGGGGUGUUUCCAGUCAAAACAGUGAUCCAAGAAGUGGCUUUGCCACCAUUGAGAAGGAUCCGGGGAGCUUGACGCCCAUGCUUGGAGAUAGGAAGGUCGGUGUCAACCCAAGUUUGGAUGUAGUAUUACUCUUAUUUUAUUGCAAAAAGGAAAUUGGCCUGUGUUUGUUUGCACCAUAAUUGUUGACGCAAAUUAUCAAGAUGCAUCUCAGGUGCAAGGUUUUCUAUGUAUGCGGCACCAUCAGGCUAUCUUUUUAACACCACUUGGAAUAAUUUCUGAAGUAUUUGCCACCAUCAGAUCAUUUUUGUAAUCCUGCUUCCAGAUGUAUUUUAGACUAAGGUUACUAGACUUUUAGAAGAAAAGCAAGGUCUUAGGCAUCACGAUUUUAGUGAUAUUUUUAUCAAGCUGGGUUUGUCAAAAUGGUUGUAGGGCUUCUGUCUUCUCCUUUUGUUUUCUUUUACCAGGGAAUCUUUUUGUCUUGACUUUUAAGGCACCUGCCCUUGGUUCAUACUUCAUAAGUUCUGAUGUUUGGCUGUAUUCUAGGUUGAGCAUUUCUUGGGGAUAAAGCGGAAGCCUGAGCCUACUAACUUGGGAGCACCAAAGAAGCCGAAAACUUGAAGUGUUAUUGAUGGGUCUUCUAUUAUUUGUUGAGUUCGAGCAACUUACUAUUGGGGCUAGAAGUAACUUCAGGCUCUAGGCGUCAAUUGCAGCUCCCCAUUACAUUAUCCUAUAUACCUUUUAGCUUUAUCAACUAUGAAGAUCAAAAUAUAGAUGCUCUUGUUGCUUUUGAUGAUGUACUUAGACCUGUAGUGCCAACAAGACAGGCGGCAAUUUUUGAGAAUUCUUUGUUGCCCGAUAAUUGAAUGGCACCUUUAUUAGUGAUCUUCUUCAUUGUUACUGUUCCUAGAGAUGGUUGUGCAGAUUAUGUGAUUUGCAGGUGGCUAUUUCACAGAUGCUACUCUUGCUGUUAGACAAACGACUGAGCAAGUGAAAUGCUCUGCAUGUGUUUAUGGAAAGAUAAUGGCCAUCGGUGUAAACCUUGCUUUUAUUUGUUGCUAUAUGGGGGGCGUGAACACUUUUGCUUUGAUUUGUUGCUAUAUAUACUAUAUAUAGGGCAUGCUUGCUCGUGUGCAAAUGUGGUUAGGUGUGUGCAUGUCCUGCUUGUAUACAGCUGCGAUUGCAUGAUUUUGAGAACCUGUAAAACACUCAAGAUUCUUGUAAUGGGACAUAAUUAUUUUUCUAAAGGGGUAAAAGUCAUUCUUCUUAAAAGCUGUCAUCAUUUUUUUUUCUAUUUCAGUUCCAUAUCUCCUCCACUAUACGGUGUGGUUCUAUGACUGGGAAAGCAAGCCUACCGAGGAAUGGUUCUCAACAACUUAAUUGGUAUUACAGUACACAAUAAGAUGCAUUUAUCGGUAUCAAUUACUAGCAGAUUAAGCCUAACUUUGGAUUUGUCGAUUGAAGGUUCAUGAAUUAGAAAGGUCGCCGACUACUGAAUUUCUGUAAACCAAUAUGGCAUAAAAGGUCGGGCAAUGUGUCCUUUGUUCAUUUGGCUCACUAUAAAUCGGCGACUUCAUCACAAGUCUUUUAUCCAAUCUUCCCAAUACUCUUUUUGGAGAGCAUUUUGAGGAUAAAGGGUGGUUUUUCAUCAUUAGCCUUCCUCUAGCAUUCUGAAUUGUGUAGUGUUUGUGGGUCUCAAAAUUUUGUGUGGAAUAUGGUGUAAUCUUGCUCACCCAACAACGACAAUCAGUACAUUUUAGGUGUGGAAAAAUGUUCUCUACUUAAUUGGAUUUUAGUUCGUUCACCGGUGGACCGAGAGAAGGGAAAAAUCUAUUGGAAAUCAUCAUCAGCUGAGUUAGAUAUCGAAGUUGGGUUGAACAUUUAAAAGCAGGAAGUUGCCCAUAUGACACUCAUUUAUGUUAUGGUGACAUGACACUAUGUCAAAGCUGAGUUCCCUACCAUUUUACGACUGAUUGAAAUAAUCUAGAAAGCAAUAUUCAAUCGUGAACUCCUGCAAGUGAAAAAUAAUCUCCAAAGCAAAUUAUGAAUAGGAUUAAUGAAGAGAGCAUUCAACUGCACAUCAUCAACAAGGGCUUUGUUUAAGCAACGAAAAAGAAGGCAAGGCAUAUAUGCCUUGGCAUGGACAUACAACACCAGUCCAGCAACUAAUGACAGCACAAUUGUUUUUCCUCUAACCACAAACAGCACGAUUUUUUGAAUCAUAUACAAAUCUAUUGAACAACUACAAGAAAACAUUGACAACCAAGAUACAAAUUCAAAACAACAAAACAAUUUUGCCAGAUUGAGUUACAUAGACCCUUCACCCGGUCUGGUAAAGUAGCGCUAAAGAGCAGCGUCUGAACUUUACUUGUAUCCUCCACCUUGCCUACAAGAACUAGAAGAAUUGAAGGAUAAGUAUAUCCACAUCUAUCAGCAAUGUGGUUAAAUCGAAAAAGUCACAUAAUUGAGACAGAUUCUCCAAAUAUCUCAGGGGAUAAUCAAUUUUCAAACUGCAGCCUAGAUAAUACCUUACAUAAACCUACUAAGACAAGCCUCAAGCAAAGGAAUAGCAAUAUUGGUUUGAGCCCCUCUCAAUGUAUGCACAAUAAGAGAUAUGUUACACGUAGUAGAGAAUUUUAAAGGCACAAAGAAAAUAAAGAUCUUGCUCUAAAAAUAAGAUUUAAAAAUCUUUUUUUUAAAAAGUUCUAAGCAGCUGCAUGAUGCUGAAACUAAAAAAUCUAUUGUCAAAUAUCAAAAAAUAACAUCACUAGUAAUAAUGGUAAUUGCAAUAAAUAAGUAAAGCAUAUUUCCGCCAGAAACUUCAUAGGGAAAAAAAUUAGUACACAUACACCAAGAAUUGAUAAAGCUUGAGUUCUUGUGGACAGACAAGUAAUUUUUACACGGCUAACCAGAAGAGAAUCUAUUUCAUUUAUUCUUAUGACGAAGAUCAAAUGUCAACAGGUUCAGAGAAGUGCUAAAGAAAUGGCUGACUCGGAAUAAGCACCAUCUUGCUACUUACAAACUCAAAAAAUCCAACAACGAUGAGAGCCUGAGGCUGAAAAUCCUGAUGACGACCUCAUAAGUUUCAAACCUUGGCACUUCAGGUAUCAGCAAGUGAGAUCAGCUGAUUGACAACAGAUGGAUCUGCCAGUGUGCUGUUGUCUCCAAGCUUGUCUAAUUGCCUCGAGGCAAUUUUCCUCAGGAUUCUCCUCAUUAUCUUUCCACUGCGGGUUUUUGGUAGGCCCAAGAGAUUCAAGAAAAAGCAACAGCAAAACAUCUUAGAAGUAGAAAUUAUCCAAGGACAUUAAGGAUGGAAAUCCUGUUCCAGUAAAAGGCCCCAGUUGGUCAUUCAUGUUAUUCCACUAAGUUUAAAAUUACUUUCAAAGUCUAGGCCUGUACGCCAAAGGAGAGACGAAAGAGGAACAGGCACAUGCAUAAAGAGUAACUGAAAAGGCCAUUAUACAUUCCUUAUGAGAAAAGUCAAACCAAUGAAAGCAAACAUGGACACGAACAGUUUUCCCUGUUGUUCAGGAAUUAAGUUCAGGCUCAUCUUCUCCUAAAGGUCUGUCACAAGAGUAAAUAACAUGUAUGAAUUUCAUAUUACUUUUUUCGUUAAACUUCAAAUAACUUAAGUAAUUGACCAUAUUAAUUCCUUUUCCAUUGGCCAUACAACAACUGCUUAGCCAAGUUGGAACCCAGUUACAAUGACAUACAACUAUUAUGGGUAUAGUUUGAAGAACAGUAUGCAUCAACUUUCAAGCAAGGGAAAUUUUGAACCGCGGGAAAAUCUCAAAGUCUGCAGUCAUGAGGUGCCACACAGAAUUCCAAUGCUAUAUUGCAUGAGACAUUUACAGGAACAGAAUAAUUGAAACUGCAGAAAAAUUGUCUAAUGAGAAAAAGGAUGGUGAAAAAUACCAUCCAACUACCAAAACCUCACUAGAAAGAGGAAAAUCAUGAAAGGAUUAUGAAACUACAAAAAGAAAAAUAAAAAGACUAAUCCUGUUGUGGGGGAAGGGGAAGGGGGUCCAAGGUUGUAUCAUCAUUAGCUAGUAAAGGACAUCAACCAAAUGUAAUACAAGACAUCUAACAAGAAUGAGCGAAUCUCAUAUAAACACCAACUUGAGGGUUCCGUGAAACUCAAUACAUAUCCCCAUCGAAAUCCCCACCAGCUAUUUCAUCGGCCAAGGAGCGCGGUCCACUAGUAGGAAAAAUAUAGCAUACUUUGAAUUUCCAACUUUUGUUUCCAGAGGUUCCACAAAUGUAGCGUUCAAAACAUGAAUAUCUCCGAAGUGCAAACUAGGAUUGCGGUAUACUAAUACCUUCCCUGAAAUUUGUCCACUGUCACUGCAUUGAUGAUUUGAGCAAACUAUUAAAUAGUAAAGACACCCAAAACAGCAUUAUAGCAUCAAAGCCCAAUAGGUAAUUACACAUUUUCCCCAAAGUUGUGAAUAUCAAACUCAAACAUGGGUUAACAAGAACAGAACCAGAGAUGGGAUGUCAUCAAAGCAAUAUAACACCAUUGAUGUCUAAAUCCAAGGACCAGAUAUGGAGGCAUGUAACUAAAUUAAACAUCUAAGCCCCAGACAAGCAUAGCUAUAGUUAUUAAUUGGCAAGCUGAUUAAAUGAAUAAGAAAAAGCACUUACAAAUGGCAUUAGAAAAGUAGGAUAAGAUGAUGAUUAUUUUAACAAUUAAAAAAAAAAAAAAACUAUGUGUAUCUAAUAGUUGUGAAGACUAACCUUUUACUUAAACCAUAAAACAUGAUUUUAUUUGGAAACAUGAACAAUAGCAAAUCUUUUAAUCAGUUGCCUUAUAAGACAAAAGACCUAUAAAACAGAAUACUCUAAUGGAUCGUAAUGAAGAUACUAAUCAGUUAGAGCUUCUCGUUUACUAGAGAAGACACUAUUUGCAUCUCCCAGAGCAUUCUUCACCAUGUCCAAAAGAAAUUCAUUAGGGACCCCGCCAUAGCUUAAAAGUGCAAUCAAAAUCUUUGAAAGAUAUGCAGGCUUUGGUUUAUUACUGCAUCAAUGAGGACCAAGGUCUAAUCAGUUCUUCCGAAAAGGUAAAAUUUGAUGGCAGAAAAAGCUCCAAACAAAAAGCAAUGGGAUUUAGUAUUUCACAAGAAAAACAUGUCCCAUGUUCAAAUUAAACUGCUGAAAGAACAAGAAAGCCGCUAACUUUUCAGUCUGUUUAUGUAAGGGUCUUUUAACCAGCUAACUCCAAAGGAAAUAUACCCUUGUUUACUUGUCUUCAUGGUAUUAGGGUUCAUUAAAUAGUCUGUAAAUUAAUAUUUUAACAGUGAUGUUUGUUGGUGAGGAAGACAAUCCAGGACAUGAAGUUGCUAAAGCAGGUAAAUAAAUCUGUUGUUGCACAAUUAUGAUUAAUCAGUGCCCCAUGACACUAAAGCGUGGAACAUCUCAUUGCAGUGAAGAUUAGAGAUAUCCUUGACAUUGAAGCAAUUAAAAUCUGCAAAGAGGACUUCUGGCCCUGGCUGUUCAUAAUAUCAUAUCUGAUAUUCUUAUGUCUAAGAAGGAAUUGCAACCUUGUUGAGCAAUUCAAAUGCAGCAGGAUCUUGUUCGAUGGUACAUGAACUUACAUGCAUGUGUUAUGUACAGGUGAUCAAAAGGGAGAAUGAGGUCCACAAUCAACACAGGAAAACGAAUGCUUGGAAAGGCCAAGACCAUGGAGAAAAAGUCCCGAUGGUACUUACCACAAAUGCCAUCAUUUACUCUCGAAGAAAAUAUAAUGACAGGAACAUGUCCUGCAUUCCGACAAUAAAAUUUUCCAUUUGGGCAUGCUGAUGUUCCUGCAUUAUCGAGUCAGAGAAAGUGAAGUUACAAUUAGAAAAGUACGUAGCUCUAGUGGUGGACACUACAAGAAAUCUGCAGACAUACAUGAGAUGUUCUAAAGGAGGAGACAAAGCCGGGUGAAAGUAACAGUGUCAUUUAGAAUAGUCUAAACAUCAAAGCAGGUCCAGAUAUGGACACUACUAGGUGUUUCCACACAUACUAUGUUCUAUAAGAAGAAAUAAAGCCUAGGAUUACUAACAGUCUUUUUUGGAUAAGUAAUAUCUAAAACCAGUACAAGCCUAACAAAAAGAAACCCAUGGUUUGUGAUAAGCACAAUACAACUGAACUAACAUGAGUCCAGCUGAGCUUGUUGAUGUACCAUCAUUACUAAUAUAUCAAUGGAGAGCAUCGCUCAACUAUGCCAGUUUAUGGAAUUUGGCCAGACCAUCCCAUAUAAACUGAAUACAUUUCUUUGCUCUUCAAAAGCAUUUAUAUCAAAUAAAGCAAUCCGCAGUUUUGCUGAUCUAUGAUGCAAAACUGAUUAUUCAUGACAAUUACCAAGGAAAAUAUUAUGUCCUCAUAAUAUACCCGCCAAGUUCGUAAUAUCUGGUGAAAUUGCUUAAGGUAACAAUUCGUCUGCUUCGUUCGGCAAGAAAGAAAACUGGGAGUUCUUCAUAUGCAUCUCAUCAAAUGAACAAGACAGACAUCAAUGAAAAGAAGGGCGACAGUGAUUCAUGAAUUUACUUCUAUCUCCUCCCAGUUUCGCCCCAGGGUGGUCUAUGGCCCAAAAAGAAGUAUUUAUUUUACUAUUUCCAUUAUUUAUCAUAUUCAUAAUCUCUGUCUUUAUUUCCCUUCCGUUGCAUCAACUCAUCCAUCUAAACACGAUGCAAGACGUGAGAACAACCAAUAAAUUCAAGGACAACAGCAAAAACUAAUUACUCUAAAAAAAGGCUCAAAAAGGACCUGGCUCAUCUGUCCCAUUUGGGCAGUCGCAGAAAUCGUCAUUGACCUGGGCUCUGGUGAAUUUCUUCGACCCAUCCUUACACUUGAUCCUGUUCGAUGAACUGUAAUAUUUCACAUCUGGGUAUCACGCAGACUGUCAUCAGUCACCCAACCACAGCCUCCAAAAGUCAAAACCCCUCACCCCACCCCACCCCACCCCACCCACUACAGCGAGCUCUGUCCAAUAAAAAAAACUUUACAAACGAGGCACCCAAAAGAAAGCGGCGGGCUCGAACCUUCAAGAGCUAUCCCAAGAAACGGGUCUUUGGGCGGCGAAGUCGAGGACGACACGCGGAGAGAACCGUUGGACAGCAGGACCAAUUCGACGACGGAGAUGAAAACGGUCGGCGAAUUCAUGUCCGGAGGAAGCGUUAGAAAAGAGCUGGAACUCAGAAAUAAAUUCUUCGAUGUGCCGGUGCCGGUGCCGGUGCUCGACCGUGAUCUUGGAAGUUCAUUGGUCGCGGCGAAACCCCAAAACUUAGCACCGCCACCGGUAUAUCUAGCCUCGCAAACCUCUUUUGCUUCAAAAUCCUUGGCUAUGUACUCGAGCCCGAAAUCGGGACCGAAUAAGGAGUAGAAGACGAAGAAGCUCGAGAGGCCAGUCGGCAGCCGGCGAUUUCUGGAGCCGCGAGGAGGGAAGCGCUUAGGGUGAGUGAGAGGGCUCGAGAGAAGCGAGGGGGGGGCGCUUGGGGUGAGUGAGAGGGCUCGGGACAAAGAGGGGAGGAGUGCUCGAGGAAGAGAGAGGCAGAAGCGGAAAGAAAAAGCGCGCGCUCCGUUGAAAAAAAGAGAGAAAAUGCAGCAGGCCUCUCCUUCUUCGCCGCGCCGUCGACCCCGCCCAAGUCCGCCCAGAUCUCCCUCACGACCGAGCGGGCCAACGUCAGGGACAGCGCCCGGUCAGCAGCGGGGAGCUUGGUGCCGCUCGGGAACGAGACCGAGAUGCCAGAGGCAGAUGACCAGCAACGCUUUUGGGCAGGCGCAGGCCGAGGCAGAGGCGGAGACGAAGCCGGAGCCGGAGACGGAGGCAGAGGAGGUGGGAUGCACGGAGAAAGAAGCAGAGGAAGGCUCUGAGCGUUCUUUUUUCCUUUACGAGGAGAGGAGAGAGAACCGGCCAUUCAAAUGAGGAGAGAGAAAAAUUUUGAGCGGGAGGAAUUAGCUAACCGUCCUUUCGAGCCAAGCCGAGCCGAUCAAAAACCAGUCCUUUUCUCAUUUUCGAGGGGGUCCCGCUCGGGACAGGUGUUGAUAUCUGAGUGGUUCAUGCGCGCCACGUCCGCGGAUGAUGUGGCGCGCACGAACCACUGAAUAUUUUCUCCUGUUAUAGACAUGGUGUGAGUAAUUGGAGAGCCGUGGUUCUGGCACUUUGCAAAUGGGACAUACAUAAAAAUUAGAAAGUGAUGGAUGGGCCACUUUUUCAAGCUACUGUAACAUUUCAUAGGGGAGCUUGAGAAGAGUAGUCACUUAAUAUGGAACUGUGGAGUUGUUUUUUUGCAUAACAUGACUACUAAACAUGAUGCUUCUAAUUCUUACUGUGAAGAUUGGAUUGAUACUUCUCCAUAUGAAAUGCGCUAGGUUGUCAUAGUUAAUCCUCCUAGUCUCCAUUCUUAUCGUUACUCCUGUUGUUUAAUUCUUGUAUGUUUUCCAAUUGCACGGGUAAAGUUCUAUGCUUGUCUUCAGAAUAGAGUUGGUUUUGUUAUAUACCUCAAUUAAUAGGCUUUGCACUUGACUAUGCAGGGGGCUUGAGCAUGAAUGAUUUCAUCAUAGCUGCAAAAAUUGACAGGAUCAAAACAUCAGAUCUGGCACCUAAGAAGAGAGUAUGGGCAUAAGUCGAGAUUUUUUUGCAUUGUAGGAGAAGUGAAAUGCUCAAGAUAAAAGUUUUGCGCCAUCCAGUUGAUGAGGGACAGUUCUCCAUUGUAAAUUGAUUCAUAGACUGCUGGUCCAUUCAAUGCUUAAUCAGCAGAUAGACAUUGUCAUUCACGACUAUCAUUCUUAGAUUGGUAGAAACGUUGACAAACUUAUUUUCCUUUUGAAUGUCUAUUCUUAAGGGUGUUUAUUUUUCCUUCUUUCCCUUGAAUCCUUUUGAUAUUUUGUCCAAAUUAAUGGGCAAUCCUGUUUCUGUCUGGUGAAUGCUCGAGACAGUAGUCCUGGACCAAAGGAAGUUGUCUGUCGAUGUACCUAUCCAGGUUGUAAGAAGUUUGUCCUUCAAAUGCAGUAUGGACAUGAACACAGAUGCUGCUAGUAUUGCAUUCUGCUCAUGCACUACCGCAGGAAAUCUUAUUCCUGUGUUAGUACUGUGGUUGUUUCUGUUGGAUAUGCUCAAGUAAGCUCUCAUUCUCAGAUUCAGUCCGACCUUUUGGAAAAGUUCUAUGGUAAUGCAAAAUUGCUUGUGUAAGCAACAAGCCUGAUCGUGCUGUUGAAUUCGACAUAUAUAAAAAAGGAGUCGGACAAAGAUCAACAUUAAGUAUGGGUACUUUAUCGACUUAGGUUUUAUAUCAGUUCAACGGGAGGCAAUAUCUGUGAGGUAGAAGACCCCAUUUGCAAGGUUUGGAUGGCAAAAUACAUUUGCAGGUCACGAGUCAUCGUUGGGACAGCAAAUUACUUUAUACACCAAAACGCUCUGUACCCUAGCGUUUAGCCCAAAAAGUUAAAAGACCUGGCCUCGAUAUAAAUUAAUGAUGCCAUAUCCCGUAGGCUUCGAACUUGGGAAGACCCUAUCCCUGUUUGUUACGCUGUCCUUCGACAAUGGCCGCAGCUGCUACUAUUUCACCGCCAUGCGCCCUCCUUUCUUACCAAGGUGGCUUUUUGUAACGCGCCCGACUUUCUCGAGCGGACCACCGCUGCACUAGUGCUUCGAGUUCAGUCAGUUUUUGCUUCGUUUGGUGUGACGGGACUGAUGAUGGUUGAAUUGUAGGACCUCGUGGAGCUCUGGUUUCAACCCGUACCUUCCAAUCCACAAAGAACCAGGUCUGCUUCUGCUUGCUUCCCAUGUAUCCCCUUUCGACUUUGACAAAAGGCUGAUAUGCGAACCAACAAAUUACUCGCUUAAAGAUGAAACAGAGCACAUACGAAACUCCAUAGGCGAAGGAAAUGAGUGAUCUUUUGUUCGUCUUCUUAUUUGGUCUUCCGAACACGCUGGGGGUUCAUUCAGUGCAACCUUUAUUCCGCCCGUGCCCACGAAUAGAAUUUUGCGUGGGAAAACAAGAUGGGCAAAAUAAACUCGCACUCAUUAUGUUCGACAAAAUGCUUUUGUGGUGACAGCUCUCUAUGCACUCAGGUGCUAUCUGAGCUCGUGCCCAACAGUUAUUAUCUUGAGGGAUAUCUGGUUUUCUUUUGCUUAUCCUCUAUAUUUCAACUGGAGUUAUACCCUGGCUGAAAAAAAAGGAGAAAAAAGAAGCUGGAGUCAUUGCAGGCUUUGCCACAAUAACCAUGUUUUGUGGUGCAGAGACAAUGUGGAAGGGCUGUUGCUGCUCCAAUUUCUGCUAAGUUUGACCUAAAGCCUCCACCUUAUCCACUGGUACGGUUUGAACCAUGUCUCUCUUUUCUUCUUAUUUAGUUCCCAUGGCUUCCAUAAACUAGUAGUACUUCCUGCCUUUUGCCUUGUGUUGUUUUGUUAAUGGGAUGGUUUGCUGAUUUAACGGAAUCUGUAUAUGUUUUGUCAGGCGGUCCUUUAUAAUUAAGCUUUUAAAGGUGGCACAAUCUGCUAUAUCAAUGUGUGUUCUGAUGGUGGUGAGGCAUUGUUGCUUGGCUUCACAUUUGUAGUGGCUAAAUAUACUUUCAAACUCUGCUUAUAACUGAGCUUGACUUAGAUCCUUGCAGUGCUGCCCAUUUGUGUUCGUCAAUGUUAAGGCUUAAGAUGUCAAUAUCUCUGCCUCAGGAUGCUCUGGAGCCAAACAUGAGCCGGGACACGAUAUCAUAUCAUUGGGGAAAGCACCAUAGGGGAUAUGUUGAAAAUCUAAACAUGCAAAUAGUCGGGACUGACCUAGAUGGGAUGUCAUUGGAGGACAUUAUCAUUCUUUCAUACAACAAGGGCGACAUUCUUCCUUCUUUCAAUAAUGCCGCACAGGUAGUAUAUUUUAAGUGGUCCUUAAAGUAUUUCCCUUUGUGACCUGUCAUCAAAUUAAUUGGCUCGUGUAUAGUUACUUUUUCCACAUGCUUGUGUCCUCAUAUGGGUCCAUAGUACUUAUACUAGGAGUAGAUAAUUAUCUCUCAAUCUCGUGAGGGGCUAAAGCCAGGACACAUUGGGAUUUCAUUCCUUAAAGCUGGAUUGGUACUUCAAUAUUCUGGAAAGAGAAUGCGGCCAUCGAAAUUGCUCAACUCUAAGAUAGGAUCUUCCUGUUGCCUAAUGGUAAAUAAAUCCCUUACCGUCAUAUACAGGACAGCUAGCUUGCCCAUUUAGGUAAUUAGUAUACUAGAACUUUCAUUUACCACCGGCCGCGGUGGCUCCACUGGAUAAGGCCUUGCUGAUCCUCAGCCCAGAGGUGAAGGGUUCAAAACCCAGGGGAGGCGCUAGGUGUAUUAAGUGUGACUCAGGGGUGGUGGGUCCUCCUGCUUAAGUGUCACCUGGGGUUUACGGCGCGGCUGUCGGCUGCAAGCCGGUUCCUCAAGCACCAAAGAAAAAAAAAAAAAAAACUUUCAUAUUCACCGUAUGGAAUAAAGCUCAAGAAUGAAUUGACAUUACCAUAAGAGUUCUCCUCCUCCUCAUCAUUUUGAGGGAAAAUUUCAAAUAGGGACUCAAAGUGACCCCAUUUUCUCAAAAGAGGACCCAAAGUGAAAUUUGUCUCAAAUAAGGCCCCAAAGUAAUCAUUUAGUAUCAAAAAAGGACCUGACUUGCCGGCCGGCAAACUGAUGCAUUUUCAAUGCGUAUUCCGGCGACCUGGUCUGGGGUAUUUUUGUCCAAAAAAUAUUAUCUUUUUGUUUUCCUUCUUUUGUUCAUCUUCUUCCUGAUCUACCCAUGGUGUUGUCCCUGUUCAUCGUCUUCUUCGUCGGAGAUAGGCAUUGCCCAAAUCAAGGACAUCGGAAGUGGGGAAGGGCCGGCGAAGGUCGUGGGACCGGCGUGGGUCGGCCUCACCUGAGGCCAGCGAGGGCUCAACACCCAUCGCCGGCAGCAGGCGUUGGCAGCGAGCGAGGGCUUGCAGGCCCUCGCCUGCCCUUACCAGUGGUCAGCGAGCCCUUGCUGGCCUCGCCGAACUUACUGAGGACGAAACCGCCCUGCAAUGGAGUCUUCUUCUUCUUCCUCCUCUUCAUCUCCGCUUCCCCUGCACGGAGCGACCUGGACGUGCUCUCUCGAACCGCCAUGGUCGGGCCUCCCUCCGCCGCCAUCGGCGACUGGGUCGACUCCUCCUCCUCCUUCUCGCCGCCGCCCUUUCCGCAUUGCUCCUUCACCAAAGUCACGUGCGACGCCGGCUCGUGGGUUGUCUCUCUCAACAUCACAUCCGUCGGCCUCUCGGGCUACAUCCCACCUGAAAUCGGCCUUCUCCGCGACCUCGUCAACCUCACGCUCACCACCGACAACCUCACCGGGACCCUCCCGCCGGAGCUCGGCAGCCCCACCUCCCUCCGAUUCCUCAACCUCUCCGGGAUCUUCCCCAGCAAAGUCCUGCGGGCGAUAACCCAGCUCAAAGAACUCCACUUGGGCAAUGACACAAGUUAACGGGGCCGCUGCCGCUGGAGAUGGCGGGGCUCAAGAAGCUGAAGUGGCUCGAUCUCGCCGGCAAUUACUUCACCGGCGAGAUACUGGAGGUUUGCUCGCAGAUGGAGAAGAUGAACUGGGAAAAAGGAAAAUGAAAAGAAAAUAUUUUUUGGACGAAAAUACCCUGAUUAGGUCGCCGGAAUACGCAUCAGAAAUGCAUCAGUUCACCGGCCGGCGAGUCAGGUCCUCUUUUGAGACUAAAUGACUACUUCGGAUCCUUAUUUGAGACAAGCUCCACUUCAGAUCCUUUUUUGAGAAAAUGAAGUCAUUUCGGGUCCUUAUUUGAGAUUUUCCCUCAUUUUGAGCUAUCAAAAUGAUUGGAGCGAAAAAAAGAAAGAACGAAACUUGAAAGAUGAAGAACGUUAACGAGGUCCAUACCAAAGAUUUGGAGCCUUCCACGUACUUUUUGCCUAACAUUUAAUAUGAUGCACUAGACAGACCGUUUGGCAUGCAUUUCAUGUGUGUCUUUUUUGCUAAUGUUGGUUCUCCACUUGGUGAUUGUCCAAGAGCUAACGCUCCGAGAUUCAAUUGGAUACUCGCCUCACAUCGACGUUGUUCCAAAACUGUUGAUCGGUCCGUAAUACUUGCUUUCUUAAACCAGGCGUCGCUUUUGGUUAUACAAGUUCCCAUAUAUAAGCUGAGAAAAACCAUAUGUAGACAAGCCGAAUCUCGUACAACAUUUUUUGAGAAACUCAAGUUAUAAAUCUAUUAUACCUAUGUCAAUAAAAUCAUUAACCUCUUAAUUUGGUCAAUUUAAUCGUAAAGCCUUUUGAAAAUUUACUAAUAUAAUCCUUUUAGUUACUUUUGGUGAACAAUCGUGACAUGAAUGCUGGUCAUUUUACAUGUAACACGAUUAAUGUUAAUGUAGACAAUUUUUUACAUUUUUUUUUUUAAUUUUUAAUAGAUUUUUGAAAAUUUUAUUUUCCCACAUUAGUCACCGUCAUAGGGAGGAGGGCUUGUGAGGCCGGCCCUCGCCAAAGGCUAGCCCUCGCCAUAUCUGGUGAGGCUCACCCCCACCAAAUCUCGUGUCUGAGGUCGGCAAGGUUGACCCUUGUUGACCAUGGCGACCCACAAAGGAAGAAGGGAAAAAAUAGAAAAAAGAAACAGAGAAAAAAAUGAACAAAAUAAAAAAUACAAUUAAAAAAAAAAAGAGAGUAAAAGAUCAUUCAUGUCGGCACGUGCCAUGUUACGUAAUUGGUGAUUACCGACCAAAAUUGGUCGGGACUACAUUGGCAAAUCGUCAAAAGUUAUAGGACUAAAUUGACUAAAUUAAAAAUUUUAAUGUUGAAUUGUUAUUUAUUUAAGAUUUUUCCGGUAAUUAUCGCCAAGAUUUCCAUCUAUUAGUCAGCGAGGUUUCGUCUUAAUUUGACAAGUCUCAAGCAUAUAAUAUAAAGUAACGAUAUAAGCAUAUUAUAUUGCAAAUAGGUCUAGUUUCGUAUUGGUUUUCAUCAUACCGCACGGCUCAUUCACACCGGCUUUCUUUAGGUAUGAUACACGAUGGGAUUUUGGCUAAUAAUGCAGGUUUUGACUGCGUGAAAUGCAGUGCCUUGACAGAUCAUUCUCUUCUUCUUGAUAUUCCAUCUACCAGUUAACCCACGUGCAAAAUCUCUCCUCCAUUCCAAAUCACGUGAAUGACAUCAGGUGCUCCGCCAGAGAAAGCGACGACCCGCGACGACCAGCGGUUGAGGAAAACUGAAUGCAAGUUGCUUUCGGAAGACAAUUCCGGCUUGAAUUGUAGGACAGCUCCGCGUCAUCUACGUCAUCUAAUUCUCUAAUAUGACCUGACGCUUCACACGCUAUCGAAAUAAUGCAAGGAGUUAUGUCAAACAUUGACAGUCAUUUCAGUUCUUAGCCCGGCUAGCUUUCUAGUCAGAUCAUUCAGUUUCAACGCCAAUUCAGAAGUGUUAAACAUGUGGGGGAAAAUUGACACAAAUGACCAUGAACUUUGGCUUAAUGUAUAAUGCGGUUCGUAAAUUUUAAAUUUGUUCAAUACAGUCCCUGAAUUUUAGCCAAAUGUUUAAUAUAGUCACUAAAAUUUUAAUUUGUUUUAUACAAUUCUUGAACUUUACGUACCUAAUCAAGUUAGUUCUUGGUUUAUACGAAAUGUUCAUUGUUGUCCCUAAUAUUGAAUUAAUGGCAGAACUACAUACAUUGAAAAAACAUUAAAAGUUUAGGGAUUAUAUUGAACAAAUUAAAAUUUUAUGGACUAUAUUGCACAUGAGACCAAAAAUCAUGAGCCAUUUGUAUUAUUAUCUCAACAUGUGGAGAAUAGUCGUUACACUUCUCAUAUAAGACAUGGCAAUUUCAACAUUGUGUGUUAGAUGUGAUCCCACUUCACUUAAAUACACACUUAUAACAUGUCCCAUAUAUAUGUGAUCUCACUUCAAUUUUAGAUACAACUUGUAUAAUUAAACGUUGCAUUCGGUUUGAGGAUCAAUUGCAAUGUUGAAAUUUAAUUUGUCAAUUGAUGUAACAAAUCAUAUCAAGACACUUGUGACAAAUAAGGAGCCGGUGUUGCACCACUUUGUAGGUUUACAAAUUGAGAAAGUGCUUUAUUGGCCAAAUGAAAAAAGAAAAGAAAAAGAACACAUUUAUUAGCUACCAUGACAAAUUUGACACGAUCAUUUAAAUUUGCCAAAGGAAAAAAAAUACAUAAAGGUUUGGCCAAGUGAAAAAGAAAAAAAGAAGAAGUAAUAUUUGUUAGUAUUCCAUCCAUUGCCAAAAGGUUUAAGGGUGCGUUUAGUUUAGCAUUUUGAAAACUCAUGGGAAAAAUGCAAAACAGUUUAGCCUAAAGAAUUUUAGGUAAAUGCAAAUGCCGUUUGAUAAACUAUGCUUUGAGAAGCAAUUUUGAGAAAAAUAUUAUUUAGUAGAAAACACAUUUGAAAAGCUCUUUGGAUGAUAAAUAUUAGUUUUUUUUUAAUUUUAUUUAUUUAAAAUAAAAUAAAAAAACAAUGUAUGCAACUUUUUAAAUAUCAAUUUUGAACAUAUAUAUAAUUUUUUAAAAAAAGAACAAAUCCUUCCUAGAAAUUUUUCAAUUUUUAAUUGUUAAAAUUGAAAAAAUAAUGUAUGCAACUUUUUAAAUAUAAAUUUGAAAAUAAUGCUAAAAAAUCAAAUACAUAUAUAUAAUUAAAAAAAAAAACUAAACCCUUCAUCAAAAUUUUUAAAUUUUUAAUUUUUUAAAAUUGAAUAUAAAUUUAAAUGUAUGCAACUUUUUAAAUAUCAAUUUUAACAAUAAUACUAAAAAAAUCGAAUACAUAUAUUUAAUUUUUUUAAAAAAAGACCAAAUCCUUCAUUGGAAUUUUUAAAUUUUUAUUUGCUUAAAAUUGAAAAAAAAUGAUGUAUGCAACUUUUUAAAUAUAAAUUUUCACAAUAAUGUUAAAAAAAUCAAAUAUAUAUAUAUAUAUAAAAAGACCAAAUCCUUCGUCGAAAUUUUUAAAUUUUUAUUUGUUUAAAAUUGAAAAAAGAAUGCAUGCAAAUUUUUAAAUAUAAAUUUGAGAAUAAUGCUAAGAAAUCAAAUAUAUAUAUAUAUAUAUAUAUAUAUAUUUUUUUUUUUUUUAAAAGGCCAAACCCUUCGUCAGAAUUUUUAAAUUUUUAUUUGUUUAAAAUUGAAAAAAAUAAUGUAUGCAACUUUUUAAAUAUAAUUUUUUUUACAAUCAUACUAAACAAAUAAAAUACAUUUAUAUAUAUAUUUAAAAAAAAGACCAAAUCAUUCGUCGAAAUUUUUUAAUUUUAAUUGUUUAAAAUUUGAAAAAAAUAAUGUAUGGGAAUUUUUAAUAUAAAUUUGAAAAUAAUGCUAAGAAAUCAAAUAUAUAUAUGUAUAUAUAUAUAUAUAUAUAUAUAUAUAUAUACAUAUAUAUAUAAUUUAAAAAAAAACCAAACUCUUCAUUGGAAUAUUUUAAUUUAUAUUUGCUUAUAAUUGAAAAAAUAAUGUAUACAAUUUUUUAAAUAUAAAAUUUUACAAUAAUGCUAAAAAAAUCAAAUAUAUAAAUAUUUUUUAAAAGACAAAAUAUAUAUUUUUUUAGCAUUUAUAUAUAUUUGAUUUUUUAAGCAUUAUUUUGGUAUUUAAAAAAAUAAUAAAAAUGGCAAAAUUAGAAAUUUGAAGAAUGAGUGAUGAUAAUUUUGGAAGAAAAAAAUAAGUUUCAACAUUUGGGUAAUUGUUGAAAGCUCAAAGUUAAUCCUUACUAGCAUUGGGCUUAAGUUAAUUCUUACUAGCAUUGGGCUUUCAACUUUCUCAAUAUCUUUAAGUUUUCAGCUUUUUCAAUAUUGAUUUUUACUUGAAAGCUAGCUACCAAACGGUCCGGUAUUUUCCUAAGGGCCUUUCGUGAAAGCUCCUUGGGAAUACUGAAUCAAAUGCACAUACCUUUACUUGAAAAGUUUUUUGGGAGAGAGAGAAUUUUUGCGACACUUGUUUAGAGUUAAUUAUGAUAUUUCAAUUUUUAUCAAGAUAUCAAGAUGAAAGUGGACUGUAGUUAGCAGUAGAGAGUGUACAAAAUAGUAAGAAAAAUAUUAAUUUAAUCAUAGCAGCGAAAAAUUGUACUUUUUUUUUUAGUUUCUAUAUGGUGAAUUUUUUCGAACUAAAAUUCGUGUCAAUAGCUAAAGACGUGUUUCAACGCCCAUCAAGGCGUAACGAGGAGUCAAAAAGUUCAAAUGAAAGUCGGGUCUUUCUGCAAAAUCCAUGUCUUUUUCCAUUUCCCAUCACCUUCUCGGCAGCAGGACCCCGCCCUCGUCCCUCCGCCCUUAUAAAAAACUCAUCAAAGACUUUUGACUCACCAAAACCACUUCUCCUUCUUCUUCUUCUUCUUCGUCUUCAUCUCCUCCUCCUCCUAGUCCCGAUCCCCCCCCCCCCCCAAAAGACUUCUCGUACUCUUCUCUGACUCGCCCUCUGCCUCACGUGUUCCCCACCAAUAUGUCAAACGUGCCCUUGAGAAGUAUUCGCUCAAGGUGCAUACUUUCGCCCUUCUUGCUCUGCGCUGAAUGCCGACAUACUUCUUGAACCCAUCAAAAAGAGAAGAAAUAUAACCAGAAUUAUGACUCACAGAUAUGAAACUACGUGAGAGAGACAUACCACAUCUGCAGCAGCCNNNNNNNNNNNNNNNNNNNNNNNNNNNNNNNNNNNNNNNNNNNNNNNNNNNNNNNNNNNNNNNNNNNNNNNNNNNNNNNNNNNNNNNNNNNNNNNNNNNNNNNNNNNNNNNNNNNNNNNNNNNNNNNNNNNNNNNNNNNNNNNNNNNNNNNNNNNNNNNNNNNNNNNNNNNNNNNNNNNNNNNNNNNNNNNNNNNNNNNNNNNNNNNNNNNNNNNNNNNNNNNNNNNNNNNNNNNNNNNNNNNNNNNNNNNNNNNNNNNNNNNNNNNNNNNNNNNNNNNNNNNNNNNNNNNNNNNNNNNNNNNNNNNNNNNNNNNNNNNNNNNNNNNNNNNNNNNNNNNNNNNNNNNNNNNNNNNNNNNNNNNNNNNNNNNNNNNNNNNNNNNNNNNNNNNNNNNNNNNNNNNNNNNNNNNNNNNNNNNNNNNNNNNNNNNNNNNNNNNNNNNNNNNNNNNNNNNNNNNNNNNNNNNNNNNNNNNNNNNNNNNNNNNNNNNNNNNNNNNNNNNNNNNNNNNNNNNNNNNNNNNNNNNNNNNNNNNNNNNNNNNNNNNNNNNNNNNNNNNNNNNNNNNNNNNNNNNNNNNNNNNNNNNNNNNNNNNNNNNNNNNNNNNNNNNNNNNNNNNNNNNNNNNNNNNNNNNNNNNNNNNNNNNNNNNNNNNNNNNNNNNNNNNNNNNNNNNNNNNNNNNNNNNNNNNNNNNNNNNNNNNNNNNNNNNNNNNNNNNNNNNNNNNNNNNNNNNNNNNNNNNNNNNNNNNNNNNNNNNNNNNNNNNNNNNNNNNNNNNNNNNNNNNNNNNNNNNNNNNNNNNNNNNNCCCCUGUUCGGGCCUAAUCCCUCCGACCCCCUCCCCACCCCUUGAUUCUGUUAUUUGAGAUUUUGGAAGGAGCAAAGCUCAUUCCUCCCCACCAUCUCCUCACCUCUCUCUGAGCAAGCUAGCCGGUCAUAAUGUUGCUGGUCAACUGCUCCAAUUGCCACACUCCCGUUGCAGUUGCCACCGGGUGCCCCCUCCAUGCGCUGCGCCCUCUGCCACGCCGUCACCCUCAUCGCCCGAUCCUCGCUCCCUGCCUCCCCCCUCCCCCCACUCCUCCUCCUCCUCCUCCUCCUUCCACCACCGCCACCACCUCCCCCAACACUAUCCUCCGCAGCGGCCGCCGCCGGGGCCCCCUCCUCCGGCCCAGGGCUCGAAGCGAGCCCUGAUAUGCGGCGUCUCGUACAGAAACACCCGGGACGAGCUCAAGGACUGCGUCAACCACGCCAAGGGCAUGAAGUUCCUGUUGACCAAUCGCUUCAAGUUCCCCGAGUCCUCCAUCCUCGUGCUCACCGGUGCGUUUGCCUUUCUCGCUUCUGUCUCUGCUCCGAUAAGGAUCCGAUCGUCUUCGUGUUCAAUCGCUCCCUUCUCUCGGCGAUGCUUCCAAUGAAUUGCUAAUCGCGCGUUGACCGUCUACAGCGCAGCUUCUCUCUCUCUUCAAUUAUUUCUCAAUUGCGCGUGCAUGCUCAUUGGCAAUUCGAAUUUGACGAACGUUCCUAGCGUUCUUUCCCAAUUAAAGUUCAGCUGAUAGCAUCGCGAUCCCUCACCAUGAGUUACGACUUAAUUCUACUGAGUUUGACAUAGGAUAGCACUGCAAUGUCGAUCGCUAGAUUGUUAGUCGUGAGAACAAAUGUGAUGACCGCUACGCAAAUUACAGACACGGUUCGGAUUCUAGAUGUUCAAGUUAGGCCUCCUUAUCAACCUUCAUCCUUGUGAAUACUUGAUAACGAGUGUGUGAAGCGGUUUCUCCGGCUGUUAAUCUCGUCUUGUCUCUGGUUCGUCAUGUCUCAUGAUGAUCCGAAAAGGAUUCGCAAUUAGUCGAAACUAUAGAGGAAUAAGUUUCUGAAAGAUACUCCGCAUCUCCGUUUUACAAGUUAUCUAUUAUUAAUCUGAAAUGCCCACGUGGGGGCCUCAUUAGUCUGUGAAUAUUAACUCUGCAGAAGAUGAACGCGAUCCUUGGAGGCGUCCAACCAAUCAGAACAUAAGAAUGGCGAUGCAGUGGCUUGUCCAAGAUUGUAGGCCUGGGGAUUCUUUGGUAUUCCAUUAUUCCGGUCAUGGAUCCCAGCAGAGGAACUACACCGGUGACGAGGUGGAUGGGUUUGACGAAACGCUCUGCCCUUCAGAUUUUAGGACCCAAGGAAUGAUCGUCGAUGAUGAGAUCAAUGCUACAAUCGUCAGGCCUCUUCCUCAUGGUGUUAAGCUUCAUGCCGUUAUUGAUUCUUGUCACAGCGGCACUAUGUUAGAUUUACCCUUUCUCUGUAGAAUGGACAGGUUUGUUCAUCAUUCGCGUGGUUCUUUGCAUUAAAUUCCUAGAUUUAUCCAUCCAGAGACGAACUUUGUUUGUUUUCAUUUGUGAAUGCAGAAGUGGUCGGUAUAUCUGGGAGGACCACAGACCUCGUUCAGGAGUAUGGAAAGGGACAAGCGGGGGAGAAGUGAUUUCUUUCAGCGGCUGUGAUGAUAAUCAAACUUCUGCCGAUACUCCGGUAAAGCUUUUGGUGUUUGGCACUUAAAUGGAUUUCUCGGAAUCCUGGAAAAUCCUUACUAUUGCAAAAGUAAGUAAAAGGGAGCACAAACUUAAUUAGCCCGAUUCUCUCUGCCAACAGGCUCUGUCACAGGUUACAUCGACAGGUGCUAUGACUUAUUCCUUCAUCCAAGCCAUUGAGCGUGGGCAUGCCGCCACUUAUGGGAGCAUGCUGAAUGCGAUGCGGUCUACCAUUCGGAACACAGGCAACGAUCUUGAGGGUGGACUUGUAACUUCUCUUCUCACGAUGCUUUUGAACGGUGGCAACCUCAGCACACGACUAAGACAGGUAUGUUAUACUACGGCAGCAUCAGCUGUUUCUUUGUGAAAAAGUUGCUUCGGAGCCUCUGUAGAAUGUGCCUGAGGUUUCUCUGUUUCAUACUGAAACCAAACAUCUUAGUGGAGAACAGGACUAAGAUUACUUGUAUAGCUUUGAUUGUCUGAUGUGAACUUCGCUCUCAUGAGAUGGUAGUUGGGAUGUACUUUCAAUAUCUAAAUCACUUUUAUAAAAGUCAUUUGAAAACAUAAGGUGCGUCAGUGCAUAUCUAUUAAAGAAGCAACUGUGGACGAACUUGUUUGAUAUGUACCAGGAAAAGAUAGCUAUUUCGUUCUAUUUUAUUUCGUUGAUGCAUCUUCAGUGACUAUUAUUGUUACGGAAAGAUGAGGGAAAUCAUUAAAGCUGGUUUACGUAUGUCAAAAUGGCUAGAGACGUUAUAUCGUAUGCAGAUGGAAUGUUCAGUAAUUCAGUAGAAACAUGAGAUUACAUUAUGGAGAUGGAAUAAUUGAAAACCGUAUGGAGAUUUUCACUUAAUUCUGGAAAGUGUAAGACGGUUAGAUGGUCUUCCAUGAUAAUUCACGUAUCCUACUUGGUAAAUUGGCUUCUUUGCCGAAAGACCUUCAUUUGUAACUUGUAAAAAGUUCUGCUUGAUUAACUUGUUCACAGUUGUGCGUAUAAUGGUGGUUGAAAACCCAUAUAACCUUCCACCAAAAUGUUCCUACUUUGAUCACUAAAGCAUCCUCUUAUGCUCGGAGCACAAACAAAGCAAUGUUCAAGCCUGUUUUUAAACAUAAAGGCUUCUCCAUCAUUCUUGCUUCCACCAUGCCCAAAUCGACAAAUCAAACUAGUGGACUUUGAUAAAUUUCUGUCGACUUGGGUUAGAAAAAUGCCCUAGUUCUUCUGCAUGAAUCUCACAUCUUGGAGGCUAGGCACUGCUGUGCCGUGGGAUACUCGUUAAUACAACCAUUUCACCCUGU